This 617-nucleotide ribosomal RNA is filed under the name uncultured bacterium. RNAcentral describes it as "bacterial SSU rRNA". It matches the Rfam family "Bacterial small subunit ribosomal RNA", at positions 338 to 944 of the family's 1533-position model. The record is from RNAcentral.
CCUACGGGAGGCAGCAGUGGGGAAUUUUGGACAAUGGGCGCAAGCCUGAUCCAGCCAUGCCGCGUGCAGGAUGAAGGCCUUCGGGUUGUAAACUGCUUUUGUACGGAACGAAAAGUCUCUUUCUAAUAAAGAGGGAUCAUGACGGUACCGUAAGAAUAAGCACCGGCUAACUACGUGCCAGCAGCCGCGGUAAUACGUAGGGUGCGAGCGUUAAUCGGAAUUACUGGGCGUAAAGCGUGCGCAGGCGGUUAUAUAAGACAGUUGUGAAAUCCCCGGGCUCAACCUGGGAACUGCAUCUGUGACUGUAUAGCUAGAGUACGGUAGAGGGGGAUGGAAUUCCGCGUGUAGCAGUGAAAUGCGUAGAUAUGCGGAGGAACACCGAUGGCGAAGGCAAUCCCCUGGACCUGUACUGACGCUCAUGCACGAAAGCGUGGGGAGCAAACAGGAUUAGAUACCCUGGUAGUCCACGCCCUAAACGAUGUACACUGUUGUUGGUAACUUCUACUUUCUCAGUAACGAGCUAACGCGUGAGUUGACCGCGUGGGAGUACGGCCGNGAAGGUUGAAACGUUAAGAGUAGUCGACGNGAGAGAGACGACGACGACGACGAGGAGGAGG